This 282-nucleotide ribosomal RNA is filed under the name uncultured bacterium. Its description in RNAcentral is "partial 16S ribosomal RNA". It matches the Rfam family "Bacterial small subunit ribosomal RNA", at positions 28 to 310 of the family's 1533-position model. The record is from RNAcentral.
GAUGAACGCUAGCUACAGGCUUAACACAUGCAAGUCGAGGGGCAGCAUUUUUAUAGCAAUAUAAAAGAUGGCGACCGGCGCACGGGUGAGUGACACGAAUCCAACCUGCCGAUAACUCGGGGAUAACCCUUCGAAAGAAGGCCUAAUACCCGAUGGCAUAUCCCUUCCGCCUGGUUGGGAUAUUAAAGAACUUCGGUUAUCGAUGGGGAUGCGUUCAUUAGCUUGUGCGGGUAACGCCCACAAGGCUUCGAUGGAUAGGGGUUCUGAGAGGAAGUCCCCCCA